RNAcentral lists this ribosomal RNA (578 nucleotides) under uncultured bacterium. Its description in RNAcentral is "partial 16S ribosomal RNA". It matches the Rfam family "Bacterial small subunit ribosomal RNA", at positions 355 to 925 of the family's 1533-position model. The record is from RNAcentral.
UGGGGAAUUUUGGACAAUGGGCGCAAGCCUGAUCCAGCCAUGCCGCGUGCGGGAAGAAGGCCUUCGGGUUGUAAACCGCUUUUGUCAGGGAAGAAAUCUUCUGAGUUAAUACCUCGGGAGGAUGACGGUACCUGAAGAAUAAGCACCGGCUAACUACGUGCCAGCAGCCGCGGUAAUACGUAGGGUGCAAGCGUUAAUCGGAAUUACUGGGCGUAAAGCGUGCGCAGGCGGUUUUGUAAGACAGAGGUGAAAUCCCCGGGCUCAACCUGGGAACUGCCUUUGUGACUGCAAGGCUUGAGUGCGGCAGAGGGGGAUGGAAUUCCGCGUGUAGCAGUGAAAUGCGUAGAUAUGCGGAGGAACACCGAUGGCGAAGGCAAUCCCCUGGGCCUGCACUGACGCUCAUGCACGAAAGCGUGGGGAGCAAACAGGAUUAGAUAGCCCUGGUAGUCCACGCCCUAAACGAUGUCAACUGGUUGUUGGGAAGGUUCCUUCUCAGUAACGUAGCUAACGCGUGAAGUUGACCGCCUGGGGAGUACGGCCGCAAGGUUGAAACUUAAAUGAAUUGACGGGGUCAUAGC